AACAGGUGUUCAUUUGCUAGCUGGGGAAGAUCCUGGAAGUCCCUCCUUGCUUUUGUGCAUCUCUCCCAGUGUUGACUCCAUUCCAGCUGAGGCUCUGUAAAGCAGUGCUGAUGCUCCAUGCCAGGAAGGCUCUGCUAUCCCAGCACCUGGCCUUGUACCUGGUCCCCAGAAACAUCCUUGCACAAACCAAGCACCUGCAUUCCCUGGGCAGUGUGGGCAUGGUGCUGGAAAGAAGGGGAUGCUGACCAACCCCACACAACAGCUGCAAUGAAAGCACCAGCAUCACCCGAAGCACUUGUGUUACCAACCCCAGCUGGAGCAAUGAGACUGUUUGGUCACAAGGCAACACUGGCACACAGCAAGGAUGGAAACAAAGGGGAAUGUGUUGCAUAGCCCUUGGAUAAAGUGUUGUCAAGCUGUGCGAGUUAUUCAGCAAAGAUGUGGGUGAGCCAAGUAUCCAGGCAAAUCAUUUCCAAGGGGAGAGAUUUAUCUUGUGGCCUUCCACCCUUGGAGAGCAGCUGGAAGAUUCUCAGGGGUUUGGUCAUCCUUGGAGAAGCCACUUUGGCUCUGAGACCUUCAUGCUGCAGACUGGUGCAACCAAACAGCAUCUGCUGGGCUUUGGAUUGUGAUGCAGGUAUGAAGGUAGCAUGGGUGGAAAGGUUCUGCUGCCCAGGGGAGAUGGCAAUGAAGGAUGUGGAUGCCCACGUGCAUCCAGUGUGGGGAUGCUGGUUUCUCAUCUGGUUUUCUCUACUUCACCAAAAAAUGACUGACAAAGGGUUGUGCUCAAGAUAAGCAGCAUCCCCAACUCCUGAAGACAAACCUGCAUCCCUUCACUGUGCAUUUAUGGAGCUGUUUGGAGAGAGAAAGCCCCCACCACAGCUUGCUCCCAUUGCCUGAUGACAACCUGGCUUUUCCAGAUAAAACAGCAAACACCGCACCUGAUGUCUGCCUGCAACAGGAUGAAACCAGAAGGCAUCAGAUGCUUUCUAACAUCAGCUCUGUGAUUUUGCCUUUAGGGUCCUGGCUGCUGGGUGGGCACCAGGAAUGUGUGACCAGCUCUUAGAGCCCCCCAGAAAGGAAUAAUUACUAUGGAUGGAAAUGACUGCAUGGAGACAGAUGUGCCAUAGGGAAAACAUCACUGCAGCAGCUUUGAAAGGACACAGAGAAGGCUCUGGGCUGGUCCCCAUGAGGGACAUCACACAUCCCCUGCCUCCCAUCCCACGGUCCCCCUCUGUCCAGGGCUGAAUGCAUGAUGGACACAAUUCACAGAAACACAACAGUGGAAACCAAGUUUGUGUUAAGCAGACAAAUCCAUGAACUUCCUUCAGGGGCUUUGCUCCAGUGCAGAGAGUUCCCACGCAGGGCAAAACACAACAGAACCACUGGGGCUCCUUGAAGAGCAGCUUCAUCUCCAAGUAUCAUCUUAAAAAGAUCUUUUUCCCAAAUAUUCAUCCAACCAAAACAGGCUUGCAGCCUUCCUUGGGGUCUUCUCCAGCUGUUCCAGAUGUGUCUGAGAGUGCCCAGGCAGUACUGAAGGGCCACCUCCUAUGCUCACCAACUCCACAUCACAGCAGGGAUGGGAUGAGGUGAGAUGCAGCAUCGACCCAUGGCCAUGCACUUGGAGCAGUGGGAGGGAAGGCGGAGAGCAGGGGAUGGAGAACAGGCAGCACCUCCCCAGGUCCUUUUGUUGCUCCUGAUUUGUGUCCAUUUAUGGUCCUUUGCUGUUUCCCCCUCCUCUCCUUCAGCACUAACACAAGUGCAAAAAUGCGAGUUUGGCACAAACCCUAAGCAAACCUCUGCCUUUGCCCUCCUGGCGAGGUGCUAUCUGGUCUCCAGGGACUCCAAGUAUUCCAGUGCUAUGUCGUAGCAGAAGUGAUACUGCUCCUGUAUGGGGACAGAGGAGAGUGUUAAGCUCCCAGCAUGGCCAGCUUUAUAUUAUAGCAAAAAUAACUGUUUGAGCUCAUAAGCUUUGUCCAUCCUUGUCCUCAUUUACGUGAGCUGCUCUUGUGCCUUCUCAUUCUAAUACAAUUUAUAGCACACAAAACUGUAGGGUAACGCAGACAGCAGAGGUGCCCCUCCUACUGAGAUGUUGCUCUUUCAAGCAUCCAAUGAGCAAAACAGCCGGAAGGUGGAAAAUCACCACAAGCCAGGUUUCAGAUGCUCUUGGAUGGGAGCAUCCUGGAUGCAAGAGAAGACUGAGCCUGGAGGAAAGGGAGGGAGCUCACCUCCCAAACUCCACAGCAGCAGCACAGAGAUGGCAGAUUGAG
This is a non-coding RNA of Phasianus colchicus (ring-necked pheasant), 2267 nucleotides long. Lineage: Eukaryota; Metazoa; Chordata; Aves; Galliformes; Phasianidae. The record is from RefSeq and is a predicted model, not a curated record.